This 499-nucleotide long non-coding RNA is filed under the name Zostera marina. RNAcentral's name for it is "long non-coding RNA (ZMAR_LNC003653)". Lineage: Eukaryota; Viridiplantae; Streptophyta; Magnoliopsida; Alismatales; Zosteraceae. The record is from RNAcentral.
UAAAAUAAAUGACAUAAUUUAUUGAACAAAAUAAAUGAACCUUAAUCAAAACAAAACAAUUAAUUAAGAAAAAAACUACUACAAUAAAUGAGGUAUAUCAACUGCUAAAACAGGUAUAUCCACUACUACAGAUAUAAUCACUCCUGAAAUCCUUCGACGAUUUUUUAUUUUUUUUACCCAAAAAAAAUACGAUGGACGUAACUUCUUCGAACGAUGACAAUCGUCGAAAAAUCCAUGGACUUCCUCCAUAUCCUCUCAGAAGAUCGGGAGUCCAAUAGUAUCAAUUAAAACGAUCAUCGAACGUUCUGAGUAGGAAUAGGCGAUGAAGGUUUAAGACUCUCUCCUUGGGCGACGGAUGAUAGCACUGAUGACGGAGAAGAUGGGAGUAUUGUCGGUUAGGGUUGGAAACUCGGAUGGAAACCAAAAUCAGAGAAAAAUAAGAUUGUUAACCUUAUUUCGACGACCGAGCAUCAUUGCGUUGCAACCACUAUAAUUUCGA